This 1272-nucleotide long non-coding RNA is filed under the name Oncorhynchus mykiss (rainbow trout). Its description in RNAcentral is "lncRNA (ENSOMYG00000062778.1)". The record is from RNAcentral. Lineage: Eukaryota; Metazoa; Chordata; Actinopteri; Salmoniformes; Salmonidae.
AUGACCUCCCUCUCUCUCCUACUACCUCCCUCUCUCUCCUACUACCUCCCUCUCUCUCCUACUACCUCCCCCUUCCUACUACCUCCCUCUCUCUCCUACUACCUCCCUCUCUCUUCUACUCCCUCUCUCUCCUACUACCUCCCUCUCUCUCCUACUACCUCCCUCUCUCUCCUACUACCUCCCUCUCUCUCUUCUACUACCUCCUUCUCUCUUCUACUACCUCCCUCUCUCUCCUACUACCUCCCUCUCUCUCCUACUACCUCCCUCUCUCUCCUACUACCUCCCUCUCUCUCCUACUACCUCCCUCUCUCUCCUAUGACCUCUCCUCUCUCUCUCUCUCCCUCUCUCCUACUACCUCCCUCUCUCUCCUACUACCUCUCUCUCUCUCCUACUACCUCCCUCUCUCUCCUACUACCUCCCUCUCUCUCCUACUACCUCCCUCUCUUCUCUCCUACUACCUCACUCUCUCUCCUACUACCUCCCUCUCUCUCCUACUACCUCCCUCUCUCUCCUACUACCUCCCUCUCUCUUCUACUCCCUCUCUCUCCUACUACCUCCCUCUCUCUCUCUCCUACUACUUCCCUCUCUCCCCUAAUACCUCUCUCUCUCCUACUACCUCUCUCUCUCCUACUACCUCUCUCUCUCUCCUACUACCUCCCUCUCUCUCCUACUACCUCCCCAUCUGUCCUACGACCUCCCUCUCUCUCCUACUACCUCCCUCUCUCUCCUACUACCUCCCUCUCUCUCCUACUAUCUCCCUCUCUCUCCUACUACCUCCCUCUCUCUCCUACGACCUCUCCUCUCUCUCUCUCUCCUACUACCUCCCUCUCUCUCCUACUACUUCUCUCUCUCUCCUACUACCUCCCUCUCUCUCCUACGACCUCCCUCUCUCUCUCCCCCCAUCUGUCCUAUGACCUCCCUCUCUCUCCUACUACCUCCCUCUCUCUCCUACUACCUCCCUCUCUCUCCUACUACCUCCCUCUCUCUCCUACUACCUCCCUCUCUCUCCUACUACCUCCCUCUCUCUUCUACUCCCUCUCUCUCCUACUACCUCCCUCUCUCUCCUACUACCUCCCUCUCUCUCCUACUACCUCCCUCUCUCUCCUACUUUCUCCCUCUCUCUUAUACUACCUCCCUCUCUCUCUCCUACUACCUCCUUCUCUCUUCUACUACCUCCCUCUCUCUCCUACUACCUCCCUCUCUCUCCUACUACCUCCCUCUCUCUCCUACUACCUCCCUCUCUCUCCUACUACCUCCCUCUCUCUCCUAUGA